Molecule: long non-coding RNA, 925 nt
Filed under: Sorghum bicolor (sorghum)
Lineage: Eukaryota; Viridiplantae; Streptophyta; Magnoliopsida; Poales; Poaceae
Description: long non-coding RNA (SBIC_LNC015608)
Source: RNAcentral
CUAGCAAUUGUAAUCACGUUUUUUGCAAAUCACCCCCAAACCCCAUCCGUAGGAGACCAACCAUGGCAAUCUCGAGCACAGAAGAGCCGCCGCCACCCGCGAGUCACCUCUCUCGAGUCGUCGGUCGCCGCCGGUCUCGAGCGCCGCCGACCUCACCAUGGACUUCGACGCCUGGUCCCUGUUUCGUCUACCCUGGUCGCCCCCAACUCGUGAGUCACGGUAAUCUUCGACUAGGCGCCAUGACAAGGACCCGACAAUGUACCAGCAGUUGAGUCCGGCCUUGCAGUCCCGGCACCAUGCGAUGGCCUCGAGCGCUGCCCUGAUGACGCGGCGGACGACAUAGUCGAUGCCGAGGUCCGUGAGGCUGGGCUCACGGCAGUUGACGUAGCCGAUCCGGCGCCUGCAGUUGAGUCCAGCGGCCGAUGAUCAUUCAUCUUCACAAGCGGCGGCAAAUGAGUCGAAGAGACGGGUGGCGGUGCGACCUCUGGACUGCACGCGUGACUUCCGUACGGGAGAAAUGAAGAGGCCGAGGGACUCACGUAUGUGAGAUGAGGAAGGGGUGACUUGCAAAAAAACAAAAUAGUUAGUCUAAUGGUGGGCGUUUUUUUUAAAAUAACCCACCUCUCUCUGUGUCCAUCAGAUGAAGAUCCUGUGGCCUUGAUCAAAAGUUUGCAAGUUUACACAGCUUGCCUGGUUUACAUAGGAUACGUUCUCCUUGUAUUUUGGGUAUUAUUGUGGGACAGUCUAAUAUAAAUUAGAAAGAAAAAGAAAAAAACAGAAAGGAAAAGAAAAGAGGACCCUAAGGAAAUAGGGGUUGUUUGGUUGCUAGCCACAAUUUGCCACACUUAAUCUUACGCAAGUUUGACCAAGUUGGCAAGUGUUUGGUUGACAACUAAGUUUAGACAUGAUUUUUUUGGGCUCCACA